CUACCACAUAAUAAAAUAUAUUCUAAAGCAAAAAAUAAUAAAUUCACAGAUAAUAAAGUAGAACAUUGAACUGAAAUAGAUAUGGAAUCGAAUGGAAUUUACUUCCUGAUAGGUCAUAAAUUUGAAAAUGUUUAACUUCUCAGCUUGCUGCCAGGAGGUGGCAUUGAUGAUCAAUAAUACAUUGAGACUUGAAGGUUUCAAAUAAAUGGACUAAUAGCCUCUAGAGACCUAAGUCAUUCAUAGGUAACAACUUCCCUGUUUAUACAAAGCAUUCAUAUAUUAAAACAGAUUUGGGGAUUUCCAGUUGUGGCUCAGUGGAAAUGAAUCUAGUCUAGUAUCCAUGAGGAUUCAGGUUCAAUCCCUGGCUUUGCUCAGUGGGUCAGAGAUCUGGUAUUGCCAUGAGCUGUGAUGUAGGUCACAGAUGUAUCUUGGCCCUGACAUUGCUGUGGCUGUUGUGUAGACUGGAAGCUGCAGCUCUGAUUCAACACCUAGCCUGGGAUGCAGGUGUUGAUGUGGGUACAGCCCUUAAAAAAAAAAACAAAAAAAAAAAAAACAAAAAAAAAAAAGAUUUUGUAACAAAUCCAGUGAAGAGAUGAAUUACCUAACAAGUGUGUUAAUAGGUGUCUCAACACAGUGAACAUGCAAAGACAUGAAGAGAGAGAGAGAUGACUUGUCAUAAGUAAAAACUUUGUUCGUUUAUGGUUUGUUGACUUGGUGGAAUUGGUGAUUCUAAUGAGAAAUGAGUCACUGAAAUUGGCCUUCAGCGAAGUUGGCUAUAGAAAAAUCAAUGUAAGAAAGGAAACAUUUGGAAAACUUUGUUACUCAGACCCUUCUUAAAUGGUUUCCUUUAAGCAUUCAUGGCUUUGAAUAUUCAGUAGAAACUGAUUCAAUUUUGAAAGAGAUAAUAUUUAAGUAGAAUUCAACUACUUGUUCCAUAGAUUCCAAAGGGGCUGAGGUAUGCAUUGCACCUGUCUGUGCUCACUUGUUUUGGUUUGUUUUUUUUAAAUGAGAGUCUUUCAAAUGUACCAAUUCCUCUCUUUAUUGUUUUGCAACUGGUUAGAUUGUGCUUUUUUAAAAUUCAACAGUCCCUCAAAUAUUUGAUGUUCUCUUUUUGUACUUUCAUUCAUUGCUGGGAUAUUUUCCCUUCUCAGCAGACUUAGAAAAAUCUGGUAGGGACACAUUUGUCUGCCUGCAAUUCUUUAACAGUUACCUUCCAGUCCUCUGACAUUCUUCUGGUUGUACUGAAUACCUGUGCGUCAAAGAGAGCUCAUGACAAAAAAAGUAUAUAAAACAGAACUCAGAGUGAAAUAUUCUCUUUCCAAGACUGGGCCAUCCUCACUAUUUGCUGCUCAUUAGUGUCACUGUACUCUUCUCCUGUUUCUACCUGUCUGGAAUUCUAACAUCCUCCUGCUCUAAGCUAACACCUUCCUGAUCUAAGCUAACUUGACGGAACCCCGUCUUUUCCCUUUAAACCAAGGGAAAUAAUUAGAAAUCAAUGUAAUCUUCAGCCCCUCCACUCCCAGAACACAUGGUCUGGCUUCUGGACUUGUCUUGGUCUAAUCCCAUUGCCAACUAUUGUUUAAAACAAACAAACAAAAAACUAUUACAUCUAUUAAAGUCUCAGAAGCAUAUUUUGUACCAAGCAUCAUGCUUUCUCAACAAUAGCUCAUUUAGACCAUAUAUUAACCUUGAAAUAUAGGUUGUAUAUAUCUACAUAGAAGAGAAAUAUAUUACAGAGUUUCAAUAACAAGCUUUUAGACAUAUGUAAAUGAUGGAACAAGAGUGUUGUCCAUGUGUUCUGAUUUCAAUACUAUUCUCAAUUUGCCACAUCUUUAGACUAGCAUAACAUAAAAACUCAUCUGUUUGUUCAUGGGCCAAAAGGGGAUGGCACAUCCCUAAAUUGUGUUGGCCUCAAAUCACUAGGGUUCCAAACAAAAUCAGUCAACAAAUUAAUGGUAUGAGCAAAUUUGAUAUGGAAUUUAUGGUUUUAUGUUGAGCAUUAAGCAUUUCAACUAAGUGAACAAGAAAUUAAAAACUAAAAUGUAUAUACAUGCACAUAUACAUAUAAACAUAUAUAUAUAUGAAAGUAUACAAUUUAGAGCCAAUAUAGAAACACCUGUUUAUUCAUGGGCUUAUAAUUUAUUGGUCUAUCUCAACAGAUAAUUUAAGAACAUCCUACACAAUCUUAUAAAGCAAUGCAAGGAAAUUAACCAAUGACAAAAAAAAACUUGGAAGAAAAAAAUAUAUAGUUUUCUAUUCAUUGAAUUACCAUUAAUCAUUCCAACAUGAAAGUCAUCUUUAUAAAAACUUAGAAUUAGUAUGCAUCUAAUUAAAGAGGCUCUUUGGAAAAAGUAAAUAAUGUCAUAAAUAUAAAUGAAAUUGCUUUUACCCCUCCAAUGACAGAUAAUAGAAGUUGACCAUUUUAUGACAUUUAUCUGAGCCUAUAAAUUCUUACUGAAUAUCAUUAUGUUGGCAGAAAUAAUAUCUGAGAGGGUAUCCUUUUCCAUUGAUUUUGUGUCUCUUUUUAUUUUUCAUAUUUUCCAUCUUGGCCAAGCUGCGUUGUGUAAUUGUUCCUGCCUUCCAAUAACCUGAAAAUUAUUAUUAAUGAUCUUGACAUUCACAAUAUUUUUACCUACUACAUCAUUAGAGACAAAGAUGGAUAUGUUAAUAUUGUCAUCAAUUUCUUAAGGAGAUUCCAUCUGGCUGUGGUAAUUCAGACAAUGUUAGAAAAGAGUUUGUGCUUUUGGAAAUUACAUGGAAUUCAAGCACUUUCUUUCCCAAUGCAAAACUACAUGUAUGGCCCUUAAGAAGUCUUCACUUGCUGCUAUAUUAAAAUAUAUCUUGCUUCUUAGAACAAUAUCUGCUUGCUAAAAAUUUGAUCCUCUGUGCUAAAAUUACAGUUUUUACUCAUGUAAAUUUUCCCCUAUUUCAUGUUCAGCUCUGUAUUUGUAACUUUAAUGCCAUGUAGUCGUGAUUGCCAAGUGAUGGGUGAUCAUAAAAUCUGCUCUGGCGUUAUAAAACCUGGCAAUACUAUGCAUGCUUUUUUUUAUUUCAGAAUUAUUUACCGAUGGAAUAAAACUACUUGGUAAUUUGUUUUCUGUUGCCGAUUCUUUCAAUGGACUCACCCAAUAUCAAUCUCUCUCUUAUCCUGAAAACUUCACUUAAG
This 3166-nucleotide long non-coding RNA is filed under the name Sus scrofa (pig). RNAcentral's name for it is "lncRNA (ENSSSCG00000061995.1)". The record is from RNAcentral. Lineage: Eukaryota; Metazoa; Chordata; Mammalia; Artiodactyla; Suidae.